Molecule: transfer RNA, 75 nt
Filed under: Stenotrophomonas maltophilia
Lineage: Bacteria; Pseudomonadati; Pseudomonadota; Gammaproteobacteria; Lysobacterales; Lysobacteraceae
Description: tRNA-Val
Rfam family: tRNA
About the family: Transfer RNA (tRNA) molecules are approximately 80 nucleotides in length.
Source: RNAcentral
GGGCGGUUAGCUCAGCGGUAGAGCACUAUCUUGACAUGGUAGGGGUCACAGGUUCGAACCCUGUACCGCCCACCA